UACAGAGGCCCCAAGCGUUGUUCGGAUUCACUGGGCGUAAAGGGUGCGUAGGUGGUGAGGUAAGUCGGAUGUGAAAUCUCCGAGCUCAACUCGGAAAUGGCAUUGGAAACUACCUUGCUCGAGGGUUGGAGGGGGGACUGGAAUGCUUGGUGUAGCAGUGAAAUGCGUAGAUAUCAAGCGGAACACCAGUGGCGAAGGCGGGUCCCUGGACAACUCCUGACACUGAGGCACGAAAGCUAGGGGAGCAAACAGG
This 253-nucleotide ribosomal RNA is filed under the name uncultured bacterium. RNAcentral describes it as "partial 16S ribosomal RNA". It matches the Rfam family "Bacterial small subunit ribosomal RNA", at positions 524 to 776 of the family's 1533-position model. The record is from RNAcentral.